GAAAAGUACUAAAAGACUGCUACAUUCAACUAUGAAACGCUCGGGGGCUUGUCGAGAUAGAUCCUCAGUACCGCAAGGAAGGAAGAAGACAGACUCCUACUAUGAUUCCUUUGUAAUCAUACUAUGACUCAUACCCUGUAAUCCCACUAGGACUCAUACCCUGUAACCAACUAGUAAUCCCGCCCCCUGGAGUAUAUAAAAGAGGGCAGGGGUCCCUAGAUCGGUAGGCGAAGACUUC
This 238-nucleotide long non-coding RNA is filed under the name Setaria italica (foxtail millet). RNAcentral describes it as "long non-coding RNA (SITA_LNC003981)". Lineage: Eukaryota; Viridiplantae; Streptophyta; Magnoliopsida; Poales; Poaceae. The record is from RNAcentral.